AUUGAACGCUGGCGGAAUGCUUUACACAUGCAAGUCGAACGGUAGAGGGGGCAACCCCUCGAGAGUGGCGAACGGGUGAGUAAAGCAUCGGAACGUACCGUGUAGUGGGGGAUAACGUAGCGAAAGUUACGCUAAUACCGCAUACGCACUGAGGUGGAAAGCAGGGGAUCGCAAGACCUUGCGCUAUACGAGCGGCCGAUGUCAGAUUAGCUAGUUGGUAGGGUAAAGGCCUACCAAGGCGACGAUCUGUAGCGGGUCUGAGAGGAUGAUCCGCCACACUGGGACUGAGACACGGCCCAGACUCCUACGGGAGGCAGCAGUGGGGAAUUUUGGACAAUGGGCGAAAGCCUGAUCCAGCCAUGCCGCGUGAGUGAAGAAGGCC
Molecule: ribosomal RNA, 382 nt
Filed under: uncultured bacterium
Lineage: Bacteria
Description: bacterial SSU rRNA
Rfam family: Bacterial small subunit ribosomal RNA
Source: RNAcentral